CCAUAGCGACUAUCGUGGCAUAUCAAUAAGCGGAGGAAAAGAAACUAACAAGGAUUCCCCUAGUAACGGCGAGUGAAGCGGGAAGAGCUCAAAUUUGAAAUCUUAAAGGGUUUCCCUUUACGAAUUGUAGUUUAAAGAAGUGUUUUCUGUUGGAGUUUCGGUAAAAGUUCUUUGGAAUAGGACAUCAUAGAGGGUGAGAAUCCCGUAUUUGAUCGUUACUUUCCAGCUGUGUGAUACACUUUCAAAGAGUCGGAUUGUUUGGGAAUGCAGUCCAAAGUGGGUGGUAAAUUUCAUCUAAAGCUAAAUAUUGGCGAGAGACCGAUAGCGAACAAGUACCGUGAGGGAAAGAUGAAAAGAACUUUGAAAAGAGAGUUAAACAGUACGUGAAAUUGUCAAAAGGGAAGCGUUUGACACCAGUGUUGUUUAGUUGAAAAUCAAUUCAAUAAUUUUUGAUUUUAAGUAGUAUUGACUUCAUCAGCUUGCUGCUUUCUUUUCAGGAAUUAUUGAAUGCACUUUUCAGUUAACAAGUCAACAUCAAUUUCUUUUGUUGUAAGAGGGUAAGAGGAAGGUGGCUUACGCUUCGGCGUAAGUGUUUAUAGCCUUUUACCUCUGCAAUCGGAGAGAUUGAGGACAGCAGCGUAGACUCUUCGGGGUUAGAUUACACUUGUGCUAAGCUAUAGCCUUGUAUAGACAACUUGUUGACUAUGCUCAGUCAUGUAGCUUACUCGCUGAUGCUAUUUUACCUACGCUUAGGAUGUUGAUAUGCAUGACUGAUAU
This 777-nucleotide ribosomal RNA is filed under the name uncultured Neocallimastigales. Its description in RNAcentral is "partial large subunit ribosomal RNA". It matches the Rfam family "Eukaryotic large subunit ribosomal RNA", at positions 22 to 621 of the family's 3401-position model. Lineage: Eukaryota; Fungi; Neocallimastigomycota; Neocallimastigomycetes; Neocallimastigales. The record is from RNAcentral.